GAUGAAGGAACGUAGCGAAAUGCGAUACGUAAUGUGAAUUGCAGAAUUCAGUGAAUCAUCGAGUCUUUGAACGCACAUUGCGCCCCCUGGUAUUCCGGGGGGCAUGCCUGUCCGAGCGUCAUUGCUGCCCUCAAGCACGGCUUGUGUGUUGGGCCUCCGUCCUCCUCCCGGGGGACGGGCCCGAAAGGCAGCGGCGGCACCGCGUCCGGUCCUCGAGCGUAUGGGGCUUCGUCACCCGCUCUUGUAGGCCCGGCCGGCGCUUGCCGACACAUCAAUCUUUUUUCCAGGUUGACCUCGGAUCAGGUAGGGAUACCCGCUGAACUUAAGCAUAUCAAUAAGCGGAGGA
This 346-nucleotide unclassified non-coding RNA is filed under the name soil metagenome. RNAcentral's name for it is "partial contains 5.8S ribosomal RNA, internal transcribed spacer 2, and large subunit ribosomal RNA". The stretch from base 1 to 121 matches the Rfam family "5.8S ribosomal RNA", at positions 35 to 154 of the family's 154-position model. The record is from RNAcentral.